CAUAAUUUCCAACCAUCAAACCAGUAAACGUAAAGAUUCAAAAAAAAAAAAAAGGUGUUUUCAUCGUAAGAAUAUUACAAAGAACAAUAUGUCAUCAUCACAGUUCACUAUCUUUUGCAUCAUAAUGAUUGCUUUAUUCCCUCUUCAUGAAUUUGUCGAUGGUCAGGGUGCAGCAGCUAAACCAACUUGCACGCAAACCCCAUGCCACGAACUCAAAGAAAAUCACACUUGUUCUUGUUGUUCCUCCAAAGUUAAGGCUCAAAACAUGUGUUACAUGAGCCAAGAAGAAUGUUCGCGUAGGUGCGGCAAGCCAUAAGUUAUCUCGAGAAUCUACAUCAAAGACUUAAAAAACUUGAAUAACCAUUUUAUUUAAUACAUCCUCAUUUCUAUUUUAGUUUUAUAUGAAUAACACAUGCUUAUUUGCAGCCCAACAAAUACAAAUUAUGCAUAUUGUAUUUGUG
This is a long non-coding RNA of Brassica oleracea var. oleracea, 461 nucleotides long. RefSeq lists it as uncharacterized. The record is from RefSeq and is a predicted model, not a curated record. The transcript has 2 exons. NCBI's taxonomy places the organism in Eukaryota, Viridiplantae, Streptophyta, Magnoliopsida, Brassicales, Brassicaceae.